UAAUGUGUUAAGAAAGCAGUUAAUUCAUCUUGAAGUUUGUUUUGUUUGAUCCUAGGUAGUUAGUUGGUUAGUCUAACUACCAAAAGUUGUUAGGAAUUAGUUAGGCCAAGGUAGUUACUUAUAGCUUAAGUAACAAGUAUAAAUACACCUUAGUGUAUCAAUUGUAAUCAUAACCUUUUGGCCCAUUAAGGAUGAAUAAAAUUUCUAUUUUUCUCUAA
RNAcentral lists this long non-coding RNA (218 nucleotides) under Trifolium pratense (red clover). RNAcentral describes it as "long non-coding RNA (TPRA_LNC006422)". Lineage: Eukaryota; Viridiplantae; Streptophyta; Magnoliopsida; Fabales; Fabaceae. The record is from RNAcentral.